UCCUUGAUAGUCUAGUGGUUAGGAUAUCUGCUUGUCACUGAGUCUACUUGACAGUACUAGGCGCGCAGGUGACCUGGGUUCAAUUCCCAGUCAGGGAG
Molecule: transfer RNA, 98 nt
Filed under: Colletotrichum incanum
Lineage: Eukaryota; Fungi; Ascomycota; Sordariomycetes; Glomerellales; Glomerellaceae
Rfam family: tRNA
About the family: Transfer RNA (tRNA) molecules are approximately 80 nucleotides in length.
Source: Rfam by way of RNAcentral